ACCUAAUAAAUUUAGCUUCUACACCAAAAAUUAAUCUUAAUUCAACAUCGAGGUCGCAAACUUAUUUAUCGAUAUGAACUCUCCAAAUAAUUUACGCUGUUAUCCCUAAGGUAAUUUAAUCUUAUAAUCUAAAAUUUAGGAUCAAAAAAACAUUAAUUUAUGUAAAAUAAAUAAAAAGUCAAAUUAAUUUUUAUAUCACCCCAACAAAAUUAAAUUUAAAAAAAUCAAAAAUAAAUAAACAAGAAAAUGAUUAAAUAAAUUUAAUAAAAUUCUAUAGGGUCUUCUCGUCCUAUAUAAAAAUUUAAACUAAAAGAUUCAAAAAUCAAAUUCAAAUUAUUAAUUAAAAAAAGCAAGUUUUUCAUCAAACCAUUCAUUCUAGCCUUCAAUUAAAAGACAAAUUAUUAUGCUACCUUAGUACAGUUAAAAUNCCGCAGCCAUUUAAAAAUCAUAGA
This 452-nucleotide ribosomal RNA is filed under the name Mesovelia vittigera. RNAcentral's name for it is "partial 16S ribosomal RNA". The record is from RNAcentral. Lineage: Eukaryota; Metazoa; Arthropoda; Insecta; Hemiptera; Mesoveliidae.